UGGCUCAGAACGAACGCUGGCGGCAGGCUUAACACAUGCAAGUCGAGCGCCCCGCAAGGGGAGCGGCAGACGGGUGAGUAACGCGUGGGAAUCUACCCUUGACUACGGAAUAACGCAGGGAAACUUGUGCUAAUACCGUAUGUGUCCUUCGGGAGAAAGAUUUAUCGGUCAAGGAUGAGCCCGCGUUGGAUUAGCUAGUUGGUGGGGUAAAGGCCUACCAAGGCGACGAUCCAUAGCUGGUCUGAGAGGAUGAUCAGCCACAUUGGGACUGAGACACGGCCCAAACUCCUACGGGAGGCAGCAGUGGGGAAUAUUGGACAAUGGGCGCAAGCCUGAUCCAGCCAUGCCGCGUGAGUGAUGAAGGCCCUAGGGUUGUAAAGCUCU
This 384-nucleotide ribosomal RNA is filed under the name Rhizobium leguminosarum. RNAcentral describes it as "bacterial SSU rRNA". It matches the Rfam family "Bacterial small subunit ribosomal RNA", at positions 20 to 434 of the family's 1533-position model. The record is from RNAcentral. Lineage: Bacteria; Pseudomonadati; Pseudomonadota; Alphaproteobacteria; Hyphomicrobiales; Rhizobiaceae.